UUCAACUUGUGAACUACUGAAUGAAAGCCUAGUUUUUCGCAUAGUCAGUUUCAUUCCGAGCACGGUCAGAUAAACAUGUAUGUUCUGUGAGUGGAAGAAUCAUCGCGAUAAUAAUUUGUUUUUGUGAAUACUGUAACUAAUUUCAUCGAGAUAACGGUGGUAUAAUCGUGUUGCGUUGUUAAUUUGUGAUAUUUUAGCUAUUCGCCGGGAUUUUAUUGCAUAAGGAAGGGCUCACUUCAUACUGGUGGGUCUGCUGUGAAAAUAAAGCUAAAGAGCAUCAUCACCAACAACAGCAGCAAGCAGCAGCCGAGGGGUCAAAACGACUACCAGAAAUAAAGCAGAUAAAAAGCACUCUCGCAGCAGAGGCGAAGAAGGAAAAUGUCGUCUUGUUUUGAAAAGUGAUUCAGCCCUACCUCGCAAUAUAGAGAAAGUGUACCGAGGCGAAAAAAGUAAAAUUUGUGAAUAAGUGUUAAUUUGUCAUUGUUUGUGCAACAUAGUUUCGUUCAAAAGUGGAAUAAUCUGUUUGUAAUAAGAAAAUUGCAUUCGCCAACGCAAAUUGCAACUUGCAUUCAAUCAGACGGAUUGAAAGUAUUCUCAAAGGCUACAAGGAAAAUCUGAGUUCAAUCAUCCAUCGAAUCAAAACAUAAAGCGGCAAGGGAAUUUGGUGUCCAAGUGCUAGAAGAAUACGCGGAUAUCGAUUGUUUCGCGAGUGCUGCUUUGAGCUGGGUUUGAGAAAUACCGAGUUUUCAUUGGAUAUCCUGAUAUUCGAAGUGGAGCACACUCUGGUUGUGGUGGCCAGGGGCUCGCGACAAAAUUCAGAAUCAUAGGAUCACUGGAGGAAAAAAACGUCGUCGUCAUUACGGAGACCAACGGAACGGCGAACGUCGUCGUCGACAGUAUGGUGAAACG
Long non-coding RNA from Aedes aegypti (yellow fever mosquito), 909 nucleotides. RefSeq lists it as uncharacterized. The transcript is spliced from 2 exons. The record is from RefSeq and is a predicted model, not a curated record. NCBI's taxonomy places the organism in Eukaryota, Metazoa, Arthropoda, Insecta, Diptera, Culicidae.